This 482-nucleotide ribosomal RNA is filed under the name uncultured bacterium. RNAcentral's name for it is "partial 16S ribosomal RNA". It matches the Rfam family "Bacterial small subunit ribosomal RNA", at positions 30 to 507 of the family's 1533-position model. The record is from RNAcentral.
AUUGAACGCUGGCGGCAUGCUUUACACAUGCAAGUCGAACGGUAACAGGCCGCAAGGUGCUGACGAGUGGCGAACGGGUGAGUAAUGCAUCGGAACGUGCCCAGUCGUGGGGGAUAACUACUCGAAAGAGUAGCUAAUACCGCAUACGAUCUAUGGAUGAAAGCGGGGGACCGUAAGGCCUCGCGCGAUUGGGGCGGCCGAUGUCAGAUUAGGUAGUUGGUGGGGUAAAGGCUCACCAAGCCAACGAUCUGUAGCUGGUCUGAGAGGACGACCAGCCACACUGGGACUGAGACACGGCCCAGACUCCUACGGGAGGCAGCAGUGGGGAAUUUUGGACAAUGGGCGCAAGCCUGAUCCAGCAAUGCCGCGUGCAGGAAGAAGGCCUUCGGGUUGUAAACUGCUUUUGUACGGAACGAAACGGCUCUGGUUAAUACCCGGGGCUAAUGACGGUGCCGUAAGAAUAAGCACCGGCUAACUACGUG